Molecule: long non-coding RNA, 829 nt
Filed under: Cyanistes caeruleus (blue tit)
Lineage: Eukaryota; Metazoa; Chordata; Aves; Passeriformes; Paridae
Description: lncRNA (ENSCCEG00000005843.1)
Source: RNAcentral
GACCCUGCCCGAGCCCACCUGGGCACCUGCACGAGCCCACCUGGUCACCCACUUUGCCCCCCGUGCAGGGACUCCCGGGGCCAGCUGGCGCAGAGGGGCAGAAGGUGAGUCCAGCCCACCUGUGGGUCCUGGCAUGGCAGCAGGGACACCUGGGAUGGUGGCAGAGGUACCAGGACCUGCCAGUCCCAACCUGGGUAGCUUGUGUGACACCACGGGUGGCUCCACAGGUGACAUCUGUCUGUCCUGCAGGGCCAGAAGGGCGAGAAGGGUGACGGGGGACUGCAGGGCAAGCCGGGGCGCCCCGGGCGUGACGUGAGUAGUGCUGGGUUGUACCUGGGCACCCCCUGAGCACCCCUGGGCAUCCCCCAGGCAGGGAGGUCUGGCCACAGGAGCCUUCACAUCCCACACCCCUCCUGGCAGGGCCGGCCUGGAGAGAUCUGCGUGGUGGGGCCCAAGGGCCAGAAGGUACCUGGGGGUUUGGGGGUGAUGGGGUGGCAGAUGGGGCACCUGGUGGCACUGCCAGCACUGCCACCUCCCCAUUGUCCUCCAGGGUGACCCGGGCCUCGUGGGACCUGAGGGGCUGGCGGGUGAACCAGGACCCCCAGGCAAGCCAGGCUCUCCAGGGAUUGGCAUUCCAGGGAAGCCGGGUGACCCCGGUGGCCCCCCAGGUGCGAAGGGAGAGAAGGGCAGCCCGGGAGCUCCUGGACCCGGAGGAUCGCCUGGGACACCCGGUCUCCCCGGAGUCCUGGGGCCGAAAGGAGACAAGGUGGGUACAGUGACAGGGUGGGUGCAGUGACAGGGUGGCUGGGAUGACAAGGUGGGUGCGGUG